GUGGGGAAUCUUCCGCAAUGGACGAAAGUCUGACGGAGCAACGCCGCGUGAGUGAAGAAGGUUUUCGGAUCGUAAAGCUCUUUCGUUAGGGACGAACGUGCUCUUUGUGAAUAAUGAGGAGUAAUGACGGUACCUAAAUAAGAAGCCACGGCUAACUACGUGCCAGCAGCCGCGGUAAUACGUAGGUGGCAAGCGUUGUCCGGAAUUAUUGGGCGUAAAGCGAGCGCAGGCGGGAUAUCAAGUCUGUCUUAAAAGUGCGAGGCUCAACCUCGUGAGGGGACAGAAACUGGUAUUCUUGAGUGUCGGAGAGGAAAGUGGAAUUCCAAGUGUAGCGGUGAAAUGCGUAGAGAUUUGGAAGAACACCAGUGGCGAAGGCGACUUUCUGGACGAUGUCUGACGCUGAGGCGCGAAAGCUAGGGGAGCGAACGGGAUUAGAUACCCGUGUAGUCC
RNAcentral lists this ribosomal RNA (450 nucleotides) under uncultured bacterium. RNAcentral's name for it is "partial 16S ribosomal RNA". It matches the Rfam family "Bacterial small subunit ribosomal RNA", at positions 354 to 796 of the family's 1533-position model. The record is from RNAcentral.